UACGGGGGGGGCAAGCGUUGUUCGGAAUUACUGGGCGUAAAGGGCUCGUAGGCGGCCAACUAAGUCAGACGUGAAAUCCCUAGGCUCAACCUAGGAACUGCGUCUGAUACUGGAUGGCUUGAAUCCGGGAGAGGGAUGCAGAAUUCCAGGUGUAGCGGUGAAAUGCGUAGAUAUCUGGAGGAAUACCGGUGGCGAAGGCGGCAUCCUGGACCGGCAUUGACGCUGAGGCGCGAAAGCUAGGGGAGCAAACGGG
This 253-nucleotide ribosomal RNA is filed under the name uncultured bacterium. Its description in RNAcentral is "partial 16S ribosomal RNA". It matches the Rfam family "Bacterial small subunit ribosomal RNA", at positions 524 to 776 of the family's 1533-position model. The record is from RNAcentral.